Molecule: transfer RNA, 84 nt
Filed under: Streptomyces humidus
Lineage: Bacteria; Bacillati; Actinomycetota; Actinomycetes; Kitasatosporales; Streptomycetaceae
Description: tRNA-Gly
Source: RNAcentral
GCGGCGGGCGCCGGGGCCGCGGUCGCCGGUGCCGCCGGUGCGGGUUCGUGCGGUACGGCACCGGGUUCGAUGGCCGCGGCCGCC